This 1337-nucleotide ribosomal RNA is filed under the name uncultured bacterium. RNAcentral's name for it is "bacterial SSU rRNA". It matches the Rfam family "Bacterial small subunit ribosomal RNA", at positions 28 to 1381 of the family's 1533-position model. The record is from RNAcentral.
GACGAACGCUGGCGGCGUGCUUAACACAUGCAAGUCGAACGGAAAGGCCCUUCGGGGUACUCGAGUGGCGAACGGGUGAGUAACACGUGGGUGAUCUGCCCUGCACUUUGGGAUAAGCCUGGGAAACUGGGUCUAAUACCGAAUAGGACCACGCGCUUCAUGGUGUGUGGUGGAAAGCUUUUGCGGUGUGGGAUGGGCCCGCGGCCUAUCAGCUUGUUGGUGGGGUAAUGGCCUACCAAGGCGACGACGGGUAGCCGGCCUGAGAGGGUGACCGGCCACACUGGGACUGAGAUACGGCCCAGACUCCUACGGGAGGCAGCAGUGGGGAAUAUCGCACAAUGGGCGCAAGCCUGAUGCAGCGACGCCGCGUGAGGGAUGACGGCCUUCGGGUUGUAAACCUCUUUCAAUAGGGACGAAGCGCAAGUGACGGUACCUAUAGAAGAAGCACCGGCCAACUACGUGCCAGCAGCCGCGGUAAUACGUAGGGUGCGAGCGUUGUCCGGAAUUACUGGGCGUAAAGAGCUCGUAGGUGGUUUGUCGCGUUGUUCGUGAAAACUCACAGCUUAACUGUGGGCGUGCGGGCGAUACGGGCAGACUAGAGUACUGCAGGGGAGACUGGAAUUCCUGGUGUAGCGGUGGAAUGCGCAGAUAUCAGGAGGAACACCGGUGGCGAAGGCGGGUCUCUGGGCAGUAACUGACGCUGAGGAGCGAAAGCGUGGGGAGCGAACAGGAUUAGAUACCCUGGUAGUCCACGCCGUAAACGGUGGGUACUAGGUGUGGGUUCCUUCCUUGGGAUCCGUGCCGUAGCUAACGCAUUAAGUACCCCGCCUGGGGAGUACGGCCGCAAGGCUAAAACUCAAAGGAAUUGACGGGGGCCCGCACAAGCGGCGGAGCAUGUGGAUUAAUUCGAUGCAACGCGAAGAACCUUACCUGGGUUUGACAUGCACAGGACGCCGGCAGAGAUGUCGGUUCCCUUGUGGCCUGUGUGCAGGUGGUGCAUGGCUGUCGUCAGCUCGUGUCGUGAGAUGUUGGGUUAAGUCCCGCAACGAGCGCAACCCUUGUCCUAUGUUGCCAGCGGGUUAUGCCGGGGACUCGUAGGAGACUGCCGGGGUCAACUCGGAGGAAGGUGGGGAUGACGUCAAGUCAUCAUGCCCCUUAUGUCCAGGGCUUCACACAUGCUACAAUGGCCGGUACAAAGGGCUGCGAUGCCGUGAGGUGGAGCGAAUCCUUUCAAAGCCGGUCUCAGUUCGGAUCGGGGUCUGCAACUCGACCCCGUGAAGUCGGAGUCGCUAGUAAUCGCAGAUCAGCAACGCUGCGGUGAAUACGUUCCCGGGCCU